Small nucleolar RNA from Nomascus leucogenys (northern white-cheeked gibbon), 194 nucleotides. Its record names the gene U3. It matches the Rfam family "Small nucleolar RNA U3". Rfam says of the family: Small nucleolar RNAs (snoRNAs) are involved in the processing and modification of rRNA in the nucleolus. NCBI's taxonomy places the organism in Eukaryota, Metazoa, Chordata, Mammalia, Primates, Hylobatidae. The record is from Ensembl.
GAGACUAUCCUUUCAGUGAUGAUUUCUGUAGUUCGUUACUAGAGAAGUUUCUCUGAAUGUGUAUAGAGAGCAUCAGAAACCACAAGAAGGAGGUGCAGCGGUCUCUCCUGAGUGUGAAGCUGGCUCUUGGUAUUGCUUCUUGGUUCUUCUCUUCCUUUGGGAGAGUAAGAGGAAGAGGAUGCAGUCUUAGUAGU